RNAcentral lists this ribosomal RNA (1346 nucleotides) under uncultured bacterium. RNAcentral's name for it is "partial 16S ribosomal RNA". It matches the Rfam family "Bacterial small subunit ribosomal RNA", at positions 28 to 1381 of the family's 1533-position model. The record is from RNAcentral.
GACGAACGCUGGUGGCGUGCUUAACACAUGCAAGUCGAACGGAAAGGCCCUGCUUUUGUGGGGUGCUCGAGUGGCGAACGGGUGAGUAACACGUGAGUAACCUGCCCUUGACUUUGGGAUAACUUCAGGAAACUGGGGCUAAUACCGGAUAGGAGCUCCUGCUGCAUGGUGGGGGUUGGAAAGUUUCGGCGGUUGGGGAUGGACUCGCGGCUUAUCAGCUUGUUGGUGGGGUAGUGGCUUACCAAGGCUUUGACGGGUAGCCGGCCUGAGAGGGUGACCGGCCACAUUGGGACUGAGAUACGGCCCAGACUCCUACGGGAGGCAGCAGUGGGGAAUAUUGCACAAUGGGCGGAAGCCUGAUGCAGCAACGCCGCGUGCGGGAUGACGGCCUUCGGGUUGUAAACCGCUUUCGCCUGUGACGAAGCGUGAGUGACGGUAAUGGGUAAAGAAGCACCGGCUAACUACGUGCCAGCAGCCGCGGUGAUACGUAGGGUGCGAGCGUUGUCCGGAUUUAUUGGGCGUAAAGGGCUCGUAGGUGGUUGAUCGCGUCGGAAGUGUAAUCUUGGGGCUUAACCCUGAGCGUGCUUUCGAUACGGGUUGACUUGAGGAAGGUAGGGGAGAAUGGAAUUCCUGGUGGAGCGGUGGAAUGCGCAGAUAUCAGGAGGAACACCAGUGGCGAAGGCGGUUCUCUGGGCCUUUCCUGACGCUGAGGAGCGAAAGCGUGGGGAGCGAACAGGCUUAGAUACCCUGGUAGUCCACGCUGUAAACGGUGGGUACUAGGUGUGGGGUCCAUUCCACGGGUUCCGUGCCGUAGCUAACGCUUUAAGUACCCCGCCUGGGGAGUACGGCCGCAAGGCUAAAACUCAAAGGAAUUGACGGGGCCCCGCACAAGCGGCGGAGCAUGCGGAUUAAUUCGAUGCAACGCGUAGAACCUUACCUGGGUUUGACAUGGAUCGGGAGUGCUCAGAGAUGGGUGUGCCUCUUUUGGGGUCGGUUCACAGGUGGUGCAUGGCUGUCGUCAGCUCGUGUCGUGAGAUGUUGGGUUAAGUCCCGCAACGAGCGCAACCCUUGUUCACUGUUGCCAGCACGUUAUGGUGGGGACUCAGUGGAGACCGCCGGGGUCAACUCGGAGGAAGGUGGGGAUGACGUCAAGUCAUCAUGCCCCUUAUGUCCAGGGCUUCACGCAUGCUACAAUGGCUGGUACAGAGAGUGGCGAGCCUGUGAGGGUGAGCGAAUCUCGGAAAGCCGGUCUCAGUUCGGAUUGGGGUCUGCAACUCGACCUCAUGAAGUCGGAGUCGCUAGUAAUCGCAGAUCAGCAACGCUGCGGCGAAUACGUUCCCGGGGCU